AUUCCGUGAUGAGGGCACUUUUGUAAUAAUUCUUUGUAUCUUUCUGAUACCUCAUACAAGGACUCAUCAUCCAUUUGUUGGAAAGAAAUGAUAUCGUUCCUUAACUU
Molecule: small nucleolar RNA, 107 nt
Organism: Gossypium raimondii (Peruvian cotton)
Lineage: Eukaryota; Viridiplantae; Streptophyta; Magnoliopsida; Malvales; Malvaceae
Rfam family: Plant small nucleolar RNA R71
About the family: R71 is a member of the C/D box family of snoRNAs containing the C (UGAUGA) and D (CUGA) box motifs.
Source: Rfam